UGGGGAAUAUUGGACAAUGGGGGCAACCCUGAUCCAGCGAUGCCGCGUGUGUGAAGAAGGCCUUCGGGUUGUAAAGCACUUUAGUUGGGGAAGAAGGGUGUGGGUUGAAUAGGCCCAUAUUUUGACGGUACCCAAAGAAUAAGCACCGGCUAACUCUGUGCCAGCAGCCGCGGUAAUACAGAGGGUGCAAGCGUUAAUCGGAGUUACUGGGCGUAAAGGGCGCGUAGGCGGUUUUGAAAGUAAGAUGUGAAAGCCCUGGGCUCAACCUAGGAACAGCAUUUUAAACUUCAAGACUAGAGUACAGUAGAGGGUGGCGGAAUUUCCGGUGUAGCGGUGAAAUGCGUAGAGAUCGGAAGGAACAUCAGUGGCGAAGGCGGCCACCUGGACUGUAACUGACGCUGAGGCGCGAGAGCGUGGGGAGCAAACAGGAUUAGAUACCCCCGUAGUCC
This 449-nucleotide ribosomal RNA is filed under the name uncultured bacterium. Its description in RNAcentral is "bacterial SSU rRNA". It matches the Rfam family "Bacterial small subunit ribosomal RNA", at positions 355 to 796 of the family's 1533-position model. The record is from RNAcentral.